This 508-nucleotide ribosomal RNA is filed under the name Arctica islandica. RNAcentral's name for it is "LSU rRNA". It matches the Rfam family "Bacterial large subunit ribosomal RNA", at positions 1818 to 2597 of the family's 2925-position model. The record is from RNAcentral. Lineage: Eukaryota; Metazoa; Mollusca; Bivalvia; Venerida; Arcticidae.
GCCCUUUGAAACAUAAGAUAAAGGGUUGGGCCUGCCCUGUGACCGACGGGUUUAACGGCUGCAGUGAAUAGCUGUGCUAAGGUAGCGUAAUCAGUUGUCCUUUAAUUGGGGAAAGGAAUGAAUGGUUUGACGAAAGGGUAGCUGUUUCAGAGGUAGAUAAGGAAGUUUUCUUUCAGGUGAAAAGACCUGAGUUUUUGUAAAAGACGAGAAGACCCCGUCGAACUUAAUUAUAAUUUUAUAUUAGGUUCUAUAUUAUAAGUUGAUGUGUAAUAGACUCCUAGUAUAAAAAUUUGAAAUUUUAUUGGGGCAAUAGAAAGCAAUGAGAAUCGCUUUUUUAUAAUAUAAAGAUCCAUUAUGAUUGAAAAAAGCAAAAGUUACCGCGGGGAUAACAGCGUUAUUUUUUCUGAGAGUUCUGAUUGAGGGAAAAGUUUGCGACCUCGAUGUUGGAUUAAAAUUUCUUUAUGCUGCAGCAGGUAUAAUAGUAGGACUGUUCGUCCUUGAAAAUUUU